UAUCUAUAUUAUGUAAACCGAAUAUGUCUUCGUCGUCAAUCUCGUAGUAUUACCACAGAAUAGAUGGAAACUAUUUCAUCUAUUCUGUGGUAUUACACUAUUACGAAUAAUAUUGUACGAUAAUAUCAAAGUAUUUUACCGAACGAUCGAAGUAUCGAAUUGUUAUCAAUUACUAGGAACAUUUACGACUAACGACUAACCAUAAGUUAACAACAUUGUUGUCAUGCAAGUACCAAAAUAAAUAUGAAGUUAGAAUUAUAAACGGUUGAAUUGUUUUUCAUUCUGUCAACCAGUUCACUCGGUUUGAUUCGUCUUACUUCACAAACAAAGUUUUGAUCUCAGUGCAACUGGUGUAACUACAGAAUUACCAAGUCUAACUGCAUCUGCCACAACUACAACGCAAAUACCGUAACCAUAAUUAAAAGGUAUUAAACAAAAAUUAUUCGAUAGUGUAGAUUGUGGUAAUCAGUCUGUGAACAUGCUACCUGAGGUGCUACCUAUGUUUGAAAGUAAAUUGAUUUUUAAUUUGAAAAUUGUGUUUAUAAUUCAAUACAAAUAUUUUUACUAUUUUAGUUGUACUAAUUAUUAAUUAUAUAAGGACUGUAAGUUACACCUGUCAUCCCAUGAUUUCACCACACUUAGAAAUGUCAAAAUUAAAAAUAAAUUUGAAAAGAAAAAAACUCUUAGACAACUGUAAGAAGGUUAAGGAACAGACUAUCAUUGAUGGAAGCUCUCUUUAAACACGAUGAUAAUAUUUUAGAGCUUAAUACUUAUUGAUGUUGAUGUCUUAAAGUUGUUGGAAGAAAAAUAUAAAAUUGAUUUAUAAUUGAA
This is a long non-coding RNA of Acyrthosiphon pisum (pea aphid), 831 nucleotides long. RefSeq lists it as uncharacterized. The record is from RefSeq and is a predicted model, not a curated record. NCBI's taxonomy places the organism in Eukaryota, Metazoa, Arthropoda, Insecta, Hemiptera, Aphididae. The transcript is spliced from 3 exons.